This 499-nucleotide long non-coding RNA is filed under the name Chrysolophus pictus (golden pheasant). Its description in RNAcentral is "lncRNA (ENSCPIG00010008495.1)". Lineage: Eukaryota; Metazoa; Chordata; Aves; Galliformes; Phasianidae. The record is from RNAcentral.
UCUUCGUCCUGUGGAAUUUUACAAAAAUUAUUUUCAGUUGAGACCAUCAAAACUAAAUACUUCUGAUAAGUGCCUGUGCUCAUAAAGAUGCCGCUUUCUUUCAUCUUCUCAAAUGAUGAGGCUCUGACUAGAAGAAAUAUGUCAAGUUGCAUGUUAGUUACACCACUCUUUUCAAUAUUGUCAUGGGAAUCUUGAUGGGCAGCCAAAAGAGCUGAAGCAUACCACUGAGGAACCAGAACACCAGAAGGCUUUCAACUUACUAGUUAAAGAGGUAAGCUGUUUGAUUUCACAGUGCUAUUGGUUUUAUUUCAUCUGCUGGAGGCUUUUGCUGGUCUGCCUGUAUAGAUGACUGUGGUAUGAGCGUGAAUGAACCGUACCCUCAGAUCAAUUCCUUAGGUAGUCUGUCAAGGCAUUUCACCUACAUGGAAUGCUGAGCCCACCUGUCAGCAAUGGAUGCUGCAUGGAAGUUGGAUCUAACUCUUUAUCAUGGAGGAGUGGC